RNAcentral lists this unclassified non-coding RNA (834 nucleotides) under Leishmania donovani. Its description in RNAcentral is "gene:unknown". Lineage: Eukaryota; Euglenozoa; Kinetoplastea; Trypanosomatida; Trypanosomatidae. The record is from RNAcentral.
UGCGUGCUGUCUCAGGCUCCAGUACAGCCCCACUCUCUCUGCCUGGGGAGAAGCCAAAGCAGCCCCCCUCCCCUCCUAUGCCUGCCGAAUGCCGAACUCGCCUCUGGUGUGUGACAGGGUCAGGUGUCUGUGACGUAGGCGGAGGUCCGCGCGAUGCAUCGCUGCUGAUGUCGGCGGUGAGGGCCUGGAUGGCGUUGCGUCGGGGCGACCUGCGACCGUGCACACGCCUGCACACCGUCUAUGUGAUGGGCGAAGUGCCAGCGUGGCUCGAACGCACCCCGCACGGCCCUCACACUGACCACUGGUGGGGGGCAGCCUGAGCGCCACGCCGAGGGGGAUGCACCAGGGGUGGCGACCGGCACAAUGGGGGAGCGGCUGUGAGGCGACCUGCUCGGCGGGCAUGUGGGCUGGGCUCGAGGCAGAGGCGGUGCUGAGACGACUGGGUCGGCGCAUUGCUGCCGUGCGCGCGUGCGCCCAGGGCUGCUUGGCACCAGGCGGAUGGGGCACCUGUGGCAGGGGUCUGUGGUGGUGCGCGGUGGGCGGAGCGGCAUGGCGUGACGUUCGAGCUCGUGUUGUGUGGCAAAGAAAUGGAAGCGUGGAACGAAGGGACUCUCCUCCCCAUGAUGGCGGCUUGGAAUGCACGUGGCGCGGUCCACCUGCAUCAUUGCCGCCUCAUCGCUGUUCCGCCCCACACGUGCACCGAUCAACCGAGCACAACUGUCGCAUAGACGGACAUGCGAAAACGCAAAGCCGCUCUCAGGCUCACGGCUAUGCAUACAGCGUCUCGCAUCCCCCUCCCUCCCUCUCCUGCUCUACCACCUUACCGCCGCGUAG